Pezoporus flaviventris is the source of this 1287-nucleotide long non-coding RNA. RefSeq lists it as uncharacterized. The transcript has 2 exons. The record is from RefSeq and is a predicted model, not a curated record. Lineage: Eukaryota; Metazoa; Chordata; Aves; Psittaciformes; Psittacidae.
AUACAUGCCAAAUUAAAUUUUAUCUGUUGUAUUUCACUCUCUCCUUAGUCAUUAUUUAUCUAGAUUAUACAUUGACCAAGGUUAAAUAUUUGUGUAUUUAUUUGUAGCUUUUUGCUACACUGUUCAUUCACAUUGCAGCCUCAGAGUUAAAUGUAGGAGAGCAUGAAUUUCUGUAACAAGCUGACUGCUGGCUACCUGUGAGUAGCUGAAUUUUGCCUUCCCCUUCCAAGUUUUUUAAUGUGGAAAUGAAUUCAGGCAUAAUGCUCGUGACAGUCUAUUUACAGCCGAUAGUUGAUGAGAAUUCUUUGGACCAGAAAAGAGCUUUUUAGUCAGUAGAGGGCUCCCCAUCCUAUAAUAAUAAAUGAUGUUGCUUGAAAAUACAGGUACAAAACAUACUGGAGUUAGGAAAUCUGGGUGAAAUUUCAUGAGCUGGUUCUUUUCUUCAAAUUCAUCCUUUGUGCUUUAAUUUACAGUAAAGUAAGAGAGCCUGUAUUACUUCAUAGGGUGUUAUGAGAAUAAAAACUUACUGUUUCUGAUCAUAUGGGCUCUACAGAAUUCUGAAAUAAUAAGAAGCUGCUGGAUACAAAGUCUGAAUUACUGGGAAGAUGGUCGAUUUUGACGUCUCUUUCACAUGCUCAGGAACAUUUUACAUUUAUGCAGAUAUUUAUUGGUGAAGUUAACUGUGUAGCUGUUAAUUAUGGAUGGAAAAGAUCCACAUCUGGAUUUAGUUGUAAGCUUUCUGACAUUAAUGUAUGUAUAUGCAUACACAUUUGCUGUAAUGGAUGUGAAAUUCUUUUAACUUUGGAAAAUGUGGGUUCCAUUCCAGUUACUGACAUGCACUUAGAAGAGCAGGGACUGGUUUUAAGACUGUCUUGUGAUUCCAUGUUCAGGCUUUAAUUUUGAAUAAUGUAACUUCUGUCAUUAGAGGAUGCAAAAGAAUGGACAGUUACCAUUAUAGUCUCUUUCUAGUCUCUGCUCUGUAUAUCUUGAUGUGUUUUUUCUAAAUUUAAACUUCUGUUUUUAUAAGUGGUAACAUAUUGACUAGAGAUACUGUCAUGUUUGUAAUUUACAUUGUAAGUAACAAUAGCUUCAAAUUAAAUAUCUUUGAAAUCAUUAAAUAUAUGUGCAUAUGAGAUUACAGUUUUCUAUUCAAAUGUUGCAUAUUUGUUAUUUAUAAUACUACCUUUACACAAGUUAAGCUUCAGUGUAUAUUUUGUCAUUUCAAAGUUGCUGAAGUGAGUGUAUAAGUGAAUAUAUGCAUAAAUAUUUUGACUUGUGAAGAAGAGA